UGAGUCGCCCGGGUGACCGCGGUGUCGCCAGACAUCGAGGAAAGUCGGGGCUUCACAGGGCAGAACGCUGGCGAGAGCCAGGUCGGGGCGACCUGACGGACAGUGCAACAGAGAACAGACCGCCGAUGGGCGCAAGCCACAGGCAAGGGUGAAACGGUGCGGUAAGGGCGCACCAGCGUGCGGAGCGAUCCGCACGGCUCGGCAAACCCCGUUCGAAGCAAGGCCAAGCAGGAGGAGGGCUGCCCGCCCGCCGGAAGGCAACCUCCGGGUAGGCCGCUCAGAUGGAUGGUCACCGCUCGCGCGAGCGAGCACAGAACCCCGCUUACAGGGCGACUCACCGU
This 341-nucleotide RNase P RNA is filed under the name Actinomycetota bacterium. RNAcentral describes it as "Actinobacteria bacterium (freshwater metagenome) RNase P RNA component class A". It matches the Rfam family "Bacterial RNase P class A". Rfam says of the family: Ribonuclease P (RNase P) is a ubiquitous endoribonuclease, found in archaea, bacteria and eukarya as well as chloroplasts and mitochondria. Its best characterised activity is the generation of mature 5'-ends of tRNAs by cleaving the 5'-leader elements of precursor-tRNAs. Lineage: Bacteria; Bacillati; Actinomycetota. The record is from RNAcentral.